GGUCUUAUAGUUUAGUGUAAAAACUGUAAAUUGCAAAUUUACAAAUGAAGUAUUUCUAAGACUU
This 64-nucleotide transfer RNA is filed under the name Psammotettix sp. EMHAU-2015-Zz053036. Its description in RNAcentral is "tRNA-Cys". It matches the Rfam family "tRNA". Rfam says of the family: Transfer RNA (tRNA) molecules are approximately 80 nucleotides in length. Their secondary structure includes four short double-helical elements and three loops (D, anti-codon, and T loops). Further hydrogen bonds mediate the characteristic L-shaped molecular structure. tRNAs have two regions of fundamental functional importance: the anti-codon, which is responsible for specific mRNA codon recognition, and the 3' end, to which the tRNAs corresponding amino acid is attached (by aminoacyl-tRNA synthetases). tRNAs cope with the degeneracy of the genetic code in two manners: having more than one tRNA (with a specific anti-codon) for a particular amino acid; and 'wobble' base-pairing, i.e. permitting non-standard base-pairing at the 3rd anti-codon position. Lineage: Eukaryota; Metazoa; Arthropoda; Insecta; Hemiptera; Cicadellidae. The record is from RNAcentral.